UACGGGGGGGGCAAGCGUUGUUCGGAAUUAUUGGGCGUAAAGGGCUCGUAGGCGGUUUGUCGCGUCGGGAGUGAAAACCUCGGGCUUAACUCGGGGCUUGCUUUCGAUACGGGCAGACUGGAGGUAUGCAGGGGAGAACGGAAUUCUUGGUGUAGCGGUGAAAUGCGCAGAUAUCAGGAGGAACACCGGUGGCGAAGGCGGUUCUCUGGGCAUGACCUGACGCUGAGGAGCGAAAGUGUGGGGAGCGAACAGG
RNAcentral lists this ribosomal RNA (253 nucleotides) under uncultured bacterium. RNAcentral's name for it is "partial 16S ribosomal RNA". It matches the Rfam family "Bacterial small subunit ribosomal RNA", at positions 524 to 776 of the family's 1533-position model. The record is from RNAcentral.